This 70-nucleotide transfer RNA is filed under the name Wiebesia pumilae. RNAcentral's name for it is "tRNA-Ile". The record is from RNAcentral. Lineage: Eukaryota; Metazoa; Arthropoda; Insecta; Hymenoptera; Agaonidae.
AAUAAAGUGCCUGAUAAAAAGGAUUAUUUUGAUAGAAUAAAAUAUAUAAUUAUAUUAAUUAUCUUUAUUA